CCACUUAGUAAAACCUCUUCAUGAACUCACUGAAGUCCAUGUUAAGUGACUGUCAGAACCAUCUUGCUGUCGUUUUGUUUUGUGAAGCCUCCCACCACUUGGGGGAGUAGUGCCGCUGUCAAUGAGGCAGAGGUUAAUGUAAUCAGGGGGGGUUACCUGACACAGGUGUUGCUGCUAAGAAGCAAACAGUGUUGAUCGUGUGGUGAUGACUGUGAAGGGAAGGUUUGAUCACAGAGAGAGUGGUGCUGCUCUUUUUAUUGUUCUGCAGAUUGUCAGAAAUAACUCGUCCUUUAUUUUGCAAAGUGGACUCUUUCUGCACGCGUCUCAACAAUUCAUCCUCAACCGUGGUGGCUUCUUUCGAUUAGCGAGGUCUCCACAUUAAGUGAGAAACUACUUCAUGGAGGACAGCGUUGGGUUCCUGCUGUGGACUGACUGUGUUCCCGGACCAGCUGCUGUGGCCUCUCAGCCUCUCCUGCUGCGGAUCACGCUCGGGGGGAAACGUCACUUCAGAACGCCUGCAUGCAACUCCAACGCCAAGAGUGAUCACACAUGAAAGUGAGGGACAGAUUACUUCGGAACAAGCUCUCUUCAUUUUGCUGGCAGACGAGGCUGAUGCUGCGGUAGAGGUCCUGGGCAGGAACGUAGCACAACACUUGCCUCAGCACCUCCUCUGGAAGGUCAUCGAUGCAGCCCUGGGGCUGCAGCAGGACCUUGCUGCUGCCUACAAGCCCAUAAUAAUCCACCUUCUCCUCAACCUCUGGCACCCCCACAGCAGCUAGCAGGGAGGAAUCGUCAACCUCCUCCUGCUCCUCGUCCUUUUCC
Paralichthys olivaceus (Japanese flounder) is the source of this 822-nucleotide long non-coding RNA. RefSeq lists it as uncharacterized. The record is from RefSeq and is a predicted model, not a curated record. Lineage: Eukaryota; Metazoa; Chordata; Actinopteri; Pleuronectiformes; Paralichthyidae.